Molecule: long non-coding RNA, 219 nt
Filed under: Lathyrus oleraceus (garden pea)
Lineage: Eukaryota; Viridiplantae; Streptophyta; Magnoliopsida; Fabales; Fabaceae
Description: Pisum sativum (pea) long non-coding RNA (PSAT_LNC012789)
Source: RNAcentral
UGUCUUUUUUGAGCUUUGGGCAUUCGUUUCUAUAGUGACCUAGUUCUUUAUAUUCAUAGCAUGUUACCUCUUUGUUUGGUUUGCCUCUGGAAGUUGAUUAUGAGUGAUCUCCCUUGGGUCUUGGUCUUAUGAAGUUGUUAUUCCUUUUUCUCCAGAGUUGUUUAACUCUUCUGAUUAAAAGGGAUAACUCUUCUUCAUCAUCAGAAUCAUCCUUUUUAG